AGAGUUUGAUCCUGGCUCAGAACGAACGCUGGCGGCAUGCCUAACACAUGCAAGUCGAACGAACCCUUCGGGGUUAGUGGCGCACGGGUGCGUAACGCGUGGGAAUCUGCCCUUAGGUACGGAAUAACAGUGAGAAAUUACUGCUAAUACCGUAUGAUGUCUUCGGACCAAAGAUUUAUCGCCUAGGGAUGAGCCCGCGUAGGAUUAGCUAGUUGGUGAGGUAAAGGCUCACCAAGGCUACGAUCCUUAGCUGGUCUGAGAGGAUGAUCAGCCACACUGGGACUGAGACACGGUCCAGACUCCUACGGGAGGCAGCAGUGGGGAAUAUUGGACAAUGGGCGAAAGCCUGAUCCAGCAAUGCCGCGUGAGUGAAGAAGGCCUUCGGGUUGUAAAGCUCUUUUACCCGGGAAGAUAAUGACCGUACCGGGAGAAUAAGCCCCGGCUAACUCCGUGCCAGAAGUCGCGGUAAUACGGAGGGGGCUAGCGUUGUUCGGAAUCACUGGGCGUAAAGCGUGCGUAUGCGGUCAUUUAAGUUAUAGGUGAAAGCCCAGGG
RNAcentral lists this ribosomal RNA (553 nucleotides) under uncultured freshwater bacterium. RNAcentral's name for it is "bacterial SSU rRNA". It matches the Rfam family "Bacterial small subunit ribosomal RNA", at positions 8 to 607 of the family's 1533-position model. The record is from RNAcentral.